UUUCUUAUCACAACAAGAAAUUCGCACAUGUCAACAAAAACGUUUAUCUCCAAAUUUCCUUUAUAAUACAUAAGCCAUAAAAGCAUAAAAACUACAAAAGACUCGCAACAAAAAGCUUGUUCCACAUUACAAACAAAAAUGUGUUGCUGAACAUCAAGUUGAUAUGAAGAAAACAGCUUCAAUCUGCCUGUGAAAGGUUCAGAAAUCUCACACCAUACAAUCCCAAGCUUUUCACUAUAUAUACAAGCUAACAAGAAGACAAAAUUUUAUUUAUGCACAUGAAAUAGGCCAAAGCAUUCAAGCUUUUUUACUCAUUGUGCUUCCGCAACCGAGUAAUGCACUUCUGUAACAGAUUUUUUCAAGAAACUACUUCCGCAGUUUGAAUCUUGGCUACAAACAUCAAGAGAGUCAAAUUCAGAGGAACCUUCAAUAACUUGAGAAUCCCACGACUUACUGCACAGAUCAGAUUGCCCACAAACAUUGCGAGACUGCUUCUUAUCUUUCCCAUUGCCUCCUCGGGUUGAAUUUCCCUUGUUACCUUUCUUUGCAUUUUUCUUUUCAUUCUUCUUUUUCCUGGAUUUCGGCUGUUUCUUGUUUUUUACAGUGUGCGACACUAGUGUAGGUACAGGAUCAUACACAUCAGCAGCCCAUUUCACUGUCAAUUUCCCAUGUGGUUCACCGUUUUUAUCACGGCUACCUUUCAAGGCGGAUUUAAGCUCUGAAGGAGCCUGCAGAGAUAUCGAACGAGAGUAAGCUUGAUGAGCAGAAUGCUCAUUAAGUGAUUCUGUAACGGAUGAAUCAGCAUCCUCGUCAGAAGAGCUUGAAGGCAACAUCACAUGAGGAGUUGGAAAGGUUGCAGAUUUAUUCAAACACACCUUGUUAGGUUUUGAUUUUUUCUGUUUAUUAACCCCACUUAAGUUUUCCUUGCCUACAUUGCACAU
This 941-nucleotide long non-coding RNA is filed under the name Medicago truncatula (barrel medic). RNAcentral describes it as "lncRNA gene43077". The record is from RNAcentral. Lineage: Eukaryota; Viridiplantae; Streptophyta; Magnoliopsida; Fabales; Fabaceae.